UGAAGAAGAAGACUGUCCCUCCCUUCGUCACUACCUUGGCUGAUCUCCCCACUCCGACUACUUGGAGCAGAAGAGCAGAUGUAAAGGCCUUGGGCAGGCUUUGAUAUUUCAGCUGUUCGUCUGCUAUGACCUGGACUAUGUCUAACAGACCUAGACUAGAGGUCAAUGGGAAUCAGAGGAGAAGGGACGGGUGAAAGAAAAAUGAAGGAACAAAAGAAACGAAAGACAGAACGACAGAGGCCCAUGUCCGAAUAUCCAUACUUGCAUUCUAAAUAGUAGACAUUUAAGGAACGGCGUGUUUGACAACAACUGAUAAUCAGCUGAUAAUGAGAAAAGGACAAAUCUGAGGGGGCACGUGCCACUGUGCCUCUUAUGGGCGUGAUGCCUCUGGCAGGGAUCAACGCCAUUAAACAGGAGAUGACACAUUCUCAGGAUGGUGGAGCCUAGAAAUUCCCAAUGAAUGGUAGGGGUUUGAUUCUGGACUACUAGACCAAAGGAAAGAACAUGAAGAGAACAAAAGCUCCAUCUUGUGGUGUGAAAGGAAAUGGAACUUCAGAACAAGCAAAUACAUUCCUAGGUACUCUACACUACAGCACUGUGAGCAGUAUACUACUAUACUAUACUAUACUAUAC
Oncorhynchus tshawytscha (Chinook salmon) is the source of this 633-nucleotide long non-coding RNA. RefSeq lists it as uncharacterized. NCBI's taxonomy places the organism in Eukaryota, Metazoa, Chordata, Actinopteri, Salmoniformes, Salmonidae. The transcript is spliced from 4 exons. The record is from RefSeq and is a predicted model, not a curated record.